UUUAAGCCAUAUCACUCAGUGGAGGAAGCGCAAGCAACAGCGAUUGCUGCAGUAAUGGCGAAUGAAGGAGCAUCUCCAGUGCUCCAUCCGGAAGUGAGUGAUCAGACAACACGCCCUGGGGCAACCGCAGGUGCGAUCGGCUAUCGUGGAUUCUAGCAAAUGCUGUGGGCUGAGGGCCGGGAGGCCAGCGGCCGCGGUGGUCAUGGCGCCAGGAAGAGCCCUGGAAAGGGCCACAAUCGAGGGAUACUGUCCCCCAUGCUGGCUGUGCGCCGUGACCCACCGUGGUGCUGUCGACCGGACCCACGAGUAGAGUGGCUUGGGACUGCAGUUUGAAGUGCGAGGUGUAUCCAUCGCAAGGAAGUAUACCGACCUGGGACCGAUAGCGCACAAGUACAGUGAUGGAAGGAUGCAAAGAACUCCGUGAAGAGGGUUAAAAGUUCCUGAAGCCUCGGCAGGAACAGUGGCGAGUGAUAUGCUGUGGCUCCCGACCGGACAGGCGACCCCCGUUCCGUCCCCUCAACCAGGGCGGCGACGGUGGGUGUGCGGUCUCCGGUCGACGUCUCCGUGUAGUGGUUUCCCAAGCGACCUCGGGCCAGCCCCGGACCUGCCACUGAGCCUCCGUCCCUGGGGACGGGGAUCGCAGUCGUGGUGGUCUCGUGUGGUGGCACCCUGCCUGCCAGGGCCCGAGGCCUGCAGUGAUCGUGUCUCGAAGGUGCAAAAUGCAACACAGAAUCUCAACCAGGGCCAAUCGAAAGAGAGCAACCCCAAGCAGCUGGGGAGUAGUGGGGACGUGCGCAGCCAGGCCGUGGUCGACCCGUCGUUCGCAGUGUGGUCCCCCCAGCGGGGCGCGACGGAGGGUUCGCACCACCGCCCUGGGGUGAGAGGCAGUCCGCAGAGAGAGAGCACACCAAGGACGUUGUGGAUGUGCGCGUGUGGCUGGCUUGGGCAAGGCUUUCCAGCGGAUGGACAGAGUGCAAGAGGACAGAGCGCAGAUCAGCACGCUGAUCCCUGGCAUGCCUCCGGGCGUGCCAGUCACCGAGGCUCCCCUGUGGUGGGGUCGGUGGUCCCACGGUGACUGCACCAGCCUGCUGGUGGUCGCUGCGGUUGGCCAGUCCGAUCCCCCAGUGGGAGCGCGGUGCAGACAGCAGUGGAGCUUGGCCUUGGCUUCGUGCCUCGACAGUGCCGCUCCCUGCCCGUCUUGAAACACGGACCAAGGAGUCUAUGGAGCCCGCGAGUCGUACGGUGCCCGUCGAUCGAAACCCCAGCGCAUGGUGAAAGCAAAAUCGUCCCAGUAUUGUGUCGGGAGUGAUCCCGGUUCUGCAUGAGAUUACCGGAUCCGGAGUCCAGUGGACAGGGUUUCGAGUGCUUGCGAGGUCCAUGGGACCCGAAAGGUGGUGAACUAUACCGUUCUACGACGAAGCCAUGGGAAACUGUGGUGGAGGUCGGUCGCUGUUCUGACGUGCAAAUCGUGUAGCCUGAGCGCGGCAUAGGGGUGAAAGGCCAAUCGAGCCACCUAGUAGCUGGUUCCCUUCGAAGUUUCCCUCGAGAUAGCA
RNAcentral lists this ribosomal RNA (1553 nucleotides) under Euglena viridis. RNAcentral's name for it is "partial large subunit ribosomal RNA". It matches the Rfam family "Eukaryotic large subunit ribosomal RNA", at positions 33 to 983 of the family's 3401-position model. Lineage: Eukaryota; Euglenozoa; Euglenophyceae; Euglenales; Euglenaceae. The record is from RNAcentral.